Molecule: microRNA precursor, 183 nt
Filed under: Oryza brachyantha (malo sina)
Lineage: Eukaryota; Viridiplantae; Streptophyta; Magnoliopsida; Poales; Poaceae
Description: MIR812 microRNA precursor family
Rfam family: MIR812 microRNA precursor family
Source: Rfam by way of RNAcentral
AAUUAAUCAACUUUUCAGUUUUUACAUAUAAUAUUUAACUAUUCGUCUUAUUAAAAAAAUUUAUGAUUGAUAUUUUUAUUUUUAUUAGAUGAUAAAACAUGAAUAGUUGUGUGACUAUUUUUUUUAAAAUUUCUUAAUAGUUUUUCAAAUAAGACGGAUGGUCAAACGUUCGACACAAAAACU